Long non-coding RNA from Physeter macrocephalus (sperm whale), 833 nucleotides. RefSeq lists it as uncharacterized. The record is from RefSeq and is a predicted model, not a curated record. The transcript is spliced from 3 exons. Lineage: Eukaryota; Metazoa; Chordata; Mammalia; Artiodactyla; Physeteridae.
GCUCAGAGGUUUAGAGAAGAAUCUCCUUCUGAGCCUCAGCCCCAUGACCCAUGGCCAGGCGAUGUGGUAAAUACGAUGUGAAGCUGGACAUGGAACAGUGACCAGAGCAUCUCCAUCAGUGAAUAUGGUAUCCAAAAGCGGUCUAGGUUCCUCAUAUUAGUCAGGAUACAAAAACUGCUGUUGUGAAUUAGUAACUUCAAAUCUCGAUGCUUCACCUGAUAAUAGGUUUAGCUUUUGCUCAUGCAAUAGUCUAAUUGUGUGUCCCAAGAGUGACCUUCCACGUGGUCAUUUAGAGGCCCUAGUGGUUCCAUGAUCCCAGGGACACCAAGAAUCCUCAUCUGGAUCCUCUGCACCUGACUGGUAAAGGAUGAUGGACAGGAGAAUGUGGAAGAUUGCACAGAGCAUCCUAUGAUAAGACUUGGAAGUGUUGUACAUCACUUUUCCCCUGUACUCCAUUGACCGAAAUUCGCUUACAUUGUCCCACUUAGAUGCAAGGUCUCUGUGUCUUUGCUUACAUUAUUGUCUCAGCACGGAAUGCCUUCAGCCUUCAUUUUCACUAGCCAAAUUUACCUGUUUUCCAGAAACAACUGAAAGAUCACCUUCUUUAUAAAGUCUUAUUAAUGUAGUUAUUCCACCAGAAACAGAGAAACCAAGGCCCCACUCUGUCGUGAAGACGUGUUGCAACAGGUUAAGAGCAGGUGGUCACAAAAUGGUUUAAAUGAUUAUUCAAGGCAACCGUUUUUUCAAAAAGCAAAUGAAUGUCACAGAUGAUACGUUUUGGUGUCAACUCUGAUGUCUCCAUCAUACACUUACUUGGUUUUACACUAUGUAUA